GAUGAACGCUGGCGGCGUGCCUAAUACAUGCAAGUCGAGCGAACGGACGAGAAGCUUGCUUUUCUGAUGUUAGCGGCGGACGGGUGAGUAACACGUGGAUAACCUACCUAUAAGACUGGGAUAACUUCGGGAAACCGGAGCUAAUACCGGAUAAUAUUUUGAACCGCAUGGUUCAAAAGUGAAAGACGGUCUUGCUGUCACUUAUAGAUGGAUCCGCGCUGCAUUAGCUAGUUGGUAAGGUAACGGCUUACCAAGGCAACGAUGCAUAGCCGACCUGAGAGGGUGAUCGGCCACACUGGAACUGAGACACGGUCCAGACUCCUACGGGAGGCAGCAGUAGGGAAUCUUCCGCAAUGGGCGAAAGCCUGACGGAGCAACGCCGCGUGAGUGAUGAAGGUCUUCGGAUCGUAAAACUCUGUUAUUAGGGAAGAACAUAUGUGUAAGUAACUGUGCACAUCUUGACGGCACCUAAUCAGAAAGCCACGGCUAACUACGUG
This 497-nucleotide ribosomal RNA is filed under the name uncultured bacterium. RNAcentral's name for it is "partial 16S ribosomal RNA". It matches the Rfam family "Bacterial small subunit ribosomal RNA", at positions 28 to 507 of the family's 1533-position model. The record is from RNAcentral.